GAGGCCUUAGCUUAAUUAAAGUGUCUGAGUUGCAAUCAGGAGAUGUGNUUUAUUCUUACAGGUCUU
RNAcentral lists this transfer RNA (66 nucleotides) under Hemidactylus brasilianus (Amaral's Brazilian gecko). RNAcentral describes it as "tRNA-Ala". Lineage: Eukaryota; Metazoa; Chordata; Lepidosauria; Squamata; Gekkonidae. The record is from RNAcentral.